UCGUGCUAGGCGGGGAGCUAGCGGUGCCCUGUACCCGCAAUCCGCUAUAGCGGGGCCGAAUUCCCCCUCGAGGGCCCAGGCCUGUUGGGACUGUCCCGUGUCUCGGCGUGGAGGGCUGGGUCCUGCGCGGCGGAGGCCCGCGAACCCCGCCAGGUCCGGGAGGAAGCAACGGUAAGCGGUCACCUCCGGGUGCCGCAGGGGCGCCUGGCCUGAGCCGGGAGCGGGCACAAGCCAGCGGGUACGGUUCGACAGGGGGUGCACGA
RNAcentral lists this signal recognition particle RNA (263 nucleotides) under Anaerolineae bacterium. RNAcentral's name for it is "signal recognition particle sRNA large type". It matches the Rfam family "Bacterial large signal recognition particle RNA". From Rfam's summary of the family: The signal recognition particle (SRP) is a universally conserved ribonucleoprotein involved in the co-translational targeting of proteins to membranes. Archaeal SRP consists of a 7S RNA and homologues of the eukaryotic SRP19 and SRP54 proteins. The record is from RNAcentral. Lineage: Bacteria; Bacillati; Chloroflexota; Anaerolineae.